RNAcentral lists this long non-coding RNA (5884 nucleotides) under Nicotiana tabacum (common tobacco). RNAcentral's name for it is "long non-coding RNA (NTAB_LNC000624)". The record is from RNAcentral. Lineage: Eukaryota; Viridiplantae; Streptophyta; Magnoliopsida; Solanales; Solanaceae.
CCCUUAACACUAAGCCCCUUUCCAUAAAUACACACAAAGCUUAAAAAAGGGGGAGCUAACCUAAAUUAAAAAGAAGAACGGCAGAAUCCCACCUUUCUAAUCUCCAAGCACUCAUCUCCCCUUUACCCGAUCUCACUGGUUUUCAACCAAAAAAGAGAAUAACGAAGGAGAGGAAUUUGAGGGAGAGUCUAAAGAGUGGGGAACGAGAUAGAAAAAGCAGAGAAUAGAAGGGAGGAACGAACAGAGAGAGACGGGAGAAACAACAGAACAGGGGAUCGGUGAAGAAGUAUGAAAAGAUGGAAAUCGGCCGCUGCUUUACCCUUCUCCUCUAUACCAUCCUUUCUUCUAGUCUAGCCGUAACCACCACAUGUACACCCUCUAGACUCCAUAGAAAUAGCACCCUUUUAACACUUGAAAUCAGGCCCAAAACCAGCUGUAUUGACCCCAUAAAUCAGCUGUAAAACCAGCCUGUCAUAGCUAAUCAAAAAUAGCUCCCCGCUUUAGCUCCGAAACACCAUUUCUCUUUACCAAUAAGUGCAGCCAUGAAACCAGAUGAAAUGCCAUUUUUAUUCCUCCUUUUCAACACCCAAAAACCAACUCAAGUACAGUCCCAAAAUUAGCAACAACGAGCUGAAAAACAGCCCAAUUACCUAACACAAAUCAACCACAAACGUGCUGAAAUCAGUGCAAAACAGUUGCAAAAAUCUGCCCGAAACAACACCUGAAUACACAAGUUCUGUUCGAGCUCGAGUUCAUCUCCGGUGGUCGAUUUCGGUCGAGAGCCGUCUCUGUAAUUUCAACUCAGUCUAUUUAUACCAAAGGUCACAUUCUCGUCCCUUUCUUCCUUUUUUUCUUUACAAAGUUCUCUUUUCUAAUUGAUAAGAUUCUUGGUAUUGUUGGUUGCAUACUGAUUUGCUUGAUAUGUUGCUUGGCAUACUGAUUUGCUUGAUGUGUUGUUUGGAUGCUAAUAUUAUAGUGGUUACUUCAAUUCUCUAUUGCAACAUUUCUUUAGAUAGUGCUGUUUGGAUUUUAGUUAUUAAGUUUGAGCUUCUAAUCUAAAAGGAUAGAAUUGAACAAGCUUGUCUUUAUUUAUUUUAUUCUAUUUUUAUUGAAAAGGACCUUGCGGUUCUAAUUGAGAAGUUUUAGUUUAGCAACUGGUUAAUGGAUUGCACCGAUGAAUAUGGCAAAUAGACUAUCUGGAUUCUUGGUUAAUAGCUACAAAAAUAUCUUUUAGCCUAUUAAUGACUUGUAAUAUAGAUAACUUUAUCAAGUAUCAUAACUACUACGUAAUACACUUAUCCCAUAGUAAUUCCAUAGACUAUGGCCUUCACAAUAAUCUCAAAAUUAAUUUUAGGAAAAUCAUGAACAUCGUAGCUCGUUUUAGGCGCGAUUAAUAAAUCAUCGUGGCUAUGGGUACGGUUCUCGUGGCAUAGUCAUGGUACAUAAAUCCAAAUUCGGGUGUGUAUUUCAUGUGACCCGACCAUAACUUCAAACAAUAAUAAUAAAAUAAACAUGCUGUGAAUCGCAGAUACGGUUCACAUGGCGCGAUUCGUAAUGUGUACAGAAUAAAUGAGUGCGCGACCUCGCAACUUGUUCCAACAAAUUCCAUAAAUAAUGAAAAGCGGUUUAAAAGGUUAAAAAUGCACAAUAGGUUUGUUUUGUACACAUUACGAAGAAUAUGUGUACAAUAGGUUAUCAGUCGAGCAUCCAGAUGGCUCCCUAUUAGGCUUUAUAUGGUAGACAAUGUCGAUCGCCGGUCGAAUGGUUUGAGCUGGGGGAGGCUCGAUUAUUGGGUACAGAUCUAGUACAGGAUGCCUUGGAUAAGGUUAAGAUCAUUCAGGAUAGACUUCGCGCAGCUCAGUCCAGGUAGAAGAGUUAUGCCGACCGUAAGGUCCGUGAUGUUGCAUCCAUGGUCGGGGAGAGAGUGUUAUUCCGUGCGUCACCCAUGAAGGGUAUAAUGAGAUUUGGAAAGAAGGGCAAGUUGAGCCCUAGGUACAUCAGGCCUUUUGAGAUUCUCCCAAGAGUGGGUGAGGUGGCUUACAAGCUCGUAUUGCCACCCAGUUUAUCGGUAUUCAACGUGUCCAUGCUCCGGAAGUAUUACGUUGAUCCAUCCCGCAUAUUAGAUUUUAGCACUGUCUAGUUGGACUAGGAUUUGACCUACGAUGAGGAGCCAAUAGUUAUUCUAGAGCCUUAGGUUCGUUAGUUGAGAUCGAAUAGUUAUCCUUCAGUUCGAGUACAGUGGAGAGGUCAGCCCAUCGAGGCAGUUACGUAGGAGUCCGAAACGGACAUGCAGAGUAGAUAUCCUCACCUUUUUCCCAGCUCAGGUACUUUUCUACGUCCGUUCGAGGACGAAAGAUUGUUUUAGAGGUGGAGAAUGUGAUGACCCGAUAGGUCAUCUUAUGAUUUAAAACUAAACUCUAUGUUUCGAGGCCUUAAAAAUCUCAUUUUAUCCCUCAAUUUGUGUGCACAGUCCGGAUGUAUUUCCGAAAAGCUUUUGUGUUGAAACUUGAUAAAAAUAAGAAUUUUUGAUUAAAAACUUCAUUUGAGUUGACUUCGAUCAACAUUUUUAGUAAACGAGCCUAGAUUCGUGCUUUGAUAGUCCCGGUGGAUCCGUAUCGAAAUAUGAGACCUGGACGUAUGCCCGGAAUCGGAUUCGGAGGUCCCUAGUCUGAGUUAUGAAUUUUUGUUAAAAAUUGAAAUCUAAAAAAAUAUUGUUUUUUAAGAAAAGUAUUGAUGUUUGAUCUUGUUGGUAUCGGGUCCGUAUUUUGGUCAGAGCCCUAUAUAGGUUCAAUAUAAUAUUUAAGAUGUGUCUGUGAAAUUUUGUGAGAAACGGAGUUAGUUUGACGUGAUUCGGACAUCUGAUUGUGAAAAUAGGAAUUUCAAAGUGUUCUUGAGAAUUUCAUUUGAUUUGGUGCUAAAUUCUUGGGUUCAACUUUUAAGUGUUAUUUUUAUGCGAUUUGAUCGCAGGAGCAAGUUCGUAUGAUGUUUUCAGACUUGUUUACAUGUUUGGUUUGGAGCCCCGAGGGGUCGGGUGAGUUUCGGAUAGACUACAGAGUGAUUUGAACUUGAAAAAAAAUUGCUGGUGUAACUGAGGUUGUUGCAGGCCUCCGAUCUUGCAAUUACGAGAUCAGGCCUCGCAAUUACGACCUCUGAGGGGUUGGCAUUUGCGAGCUUCUCAUCACAAAUGCGACAUACAGUCUUCACAUUUGUGAAAUAAAGCUGGGAGGGGCAGUGAUCGCAAAUGCGACCAUUUUGUCGUAUUUGCGGAGAUUGAAGUUUGCAAUUGCAAACUUAUCUUCGUAAUUGCGAAGCAGCAGAGAUGUGAAGGACCUCGCAUUUGCGAAGCUCAGGUUGCAAAUGCGAUAUCUGCAGCUGAUGAAAAGGGACUUAGACGGGAUUUUUCAUUCAUUCUUCAAAUUUUCAAAACCUAAAAUACAAGAGGCGAUUUUCCAAAGAUCUUUUCUUCCCCAAAACUUUUGUAGGUGAUUCUAACUCAUUUUCUUUCAAUCUUUCAUUACAUUCCACAAAUCUUCAACCUAAAAUCUAAAGUUUUCAUGAUGAAAUUGAGGAUUUUUAGAUAGAAAUUAGGGAUUUGAUAAAUUGGGGACUUAGACCUCAAAUUGAGGUCGGAUUUCAAAACCAAUUACAUGUUCGGGAUCGAGGGUGAAUGGGUAAUCAUGUUUUGGUCUGAAUUUCGAGUUUGGACCAAACGGGCCCGAGUGUUGACUUUUGUUGACUUUUUCAAUAAUGGCAUAAAUUGAAUUCUUAUCGAUCGUAUGUGAUUUCUAAGGCUUAUUUUGAAAUGUUUAGUUGGUAAUUUGCUAGAUAUUGUUGGUUCGGAUGCGUGUUUGAAAGGCAAAAUUGUAAUUGAGCUUUGAGUGGCCUUUGGAGCGAGGUAAGUGUUGUUUCUAACCUUGACUUGACGGAAUUAAGAACCCUCAAGCUUUGUGUUAUGUGAAUUCCAUGUGAGCGGCGCAUAUGUAAGGUGACGAGUGCUUAUACGCCGCCGAAUUAUUUGUUUUCUCUGUUUUAUCACUUUUCCUUAAUUAUUUUCCCUUCUAUCUUUACUGUUACAUGCUCUAAAUGCUUUCCAUGCUUAAUUGCUACGUGUUAAUCAAUAUUUUCUUCUGUUAACCAUGUUAGCUCUUUUCACUCUUUCCCUUAUUCCCUGCUAUUUUUUUAAUUCGACUUGUUUGUACCUUCUAACUAUAAAUUGUUGGUUUGGUCUCGGUGUGUAGUAUUAUUUGUGUAGAUUCUAUAUUGAACAAGGUUCUUUUUCUUGGUUCAGUUUGACAUUCAUUUAUCGUAAAGGCCUUGUGAUUUAGCCGGUUGAUUUGAUUGUGUACAUUGACUGUUUGACACUAAUAUGGUGGCAUCGGGUUGCAUGCCGCAACAGGUUGUAAUAAAGGAGGAUUGAUAUGGUAGAAUAAGGAUGAAUAUGUAUGCACAGUGAGAUCGGGUUGCACGCCACAAUAGGUGAAAUACGGGUGGAUUGAUAUGGUAAAAUAAGGGUGAAUUAUGAUAUUGAUAUUGAUAUAUGGUGGGAUUGGAUUGCGCGCCGCAACAAACACACACACACACACACACACAUAUAUAUAUAUAUAUAUUAUUUACUGUUAUUGAUAUUUUUAUGGUAGAAUAAGGGAGGAUUAUGCGUUGUCUUGUGGGAUCAGGUUGCGCGCCGCAACAACCUAUAUGUUUCUACUUCUUGAGCUACGUUGUUUUUCGGUAUUUUUAUUUGAGCUGGUAGAAAUUGGUAAUUUUGGACGACACUGGUUUAUUUUUGAGGCUGUGGUUAUAAUUUUUUUUGGUUGUUUAAUUCUAUACCGUAUUUUAAUUAUUCUGUCAUUAUUAUAGACUACGUACAGGUUUUAGCGUAGGUGACCCACCUUAGCCUCGUCACUACUUUGUUGAGGUUGGGAUCGGCACUUACCAGUACAUGGAGUCGGUUGUGCUGAUACUGCACUCUGCACACUGUGCAGAUUUUUGAGACGGUCCCAACGGAGGUUACUAGCGAGCUCGGUUCGGACAUUUACGGAGACUUGAGGUACGACUGUUCAGCUCCUGCAGCUCCUAGAGUCUCCAUCCUCUUUUCUUUUAGCUGUACAACUUCAUUCAGACAACUUUGUACUUAUUUCAAACCUUUAUGUGUAUUACUUUAAAAGCUCGUGCACUUGUGACACCAGGUUCAGUGAAUUGUAAUAGACGUUGGUUGUUUAGCUUCCACGUUUAUACUUAGAACUUAUCUGUUAUUUCAGUUCAUUAUUAUUGUUAUCGUUUAAGCUGCUAAAAAAGUAAAUUGUUCUAACAUUGGCUUGCCUAGCAUGUAAAAUGUUAGGCGCCAUUUCGAUCCUGACGGUGGAAUUUUCGGGUCGUGACAUCAAACGGCUAUAAUGUGUAGUUUUCCCGUGCAGCAACUCACCUAUUUCCUCUAAUUCCUCCCGACAUUGACACUGGUAAUUUGGAAUGCUUAAUUUAACUCCAACUAAAUUUCCAUAUUUAUUAUUGGAAAUUAUAAGUUAAUAAAUUUUUGGAAAUACCAAUACUAUUGUUGGCAUUAUUUAUUCUUUUAAUUAAUAAAAGUUGCUAACAUAUUAGUUGGACAAAAAUAUACUCUUGAUGAGAUUUAAGACCUAGGACCUUGUCACAAGGUUUCAAUUUUAACCUCUACGAUGCCCUAAUUGAUAAUUAUUUAUAAGUUUGUAAAAAAUGUGUUUUUGCUAAAUUGAAAAUAUCUCGGGAGGUAGGUUUUGUAUGGGUCAAAGUCUGAUCAAAGAAAUUCUAUUUAAGGCAGAGCAACCAAGAAGCAACUAAGCCGAAGUCGCGUGUAGGAAGUGAUAUGCCGGCAAGUGAUUUAGCUACGGUCGAGGUCGGGCACUCGAAG